Molecule: ribosomal RNA, 207 nt
Filed under: uncultured bacterium
Lineage: Bacteria
Description: partial 16S ribosomal RNA
Rfam family: Bacterial small subunit ribosomal RNA
Source: RNAcentral
UACGUAGGGACCAAGCGUUGUCCGGAAUCAUUGGGCGUAAAGAGCGUGUAGGCGGCUUGUUAAGUCUUGCGUGAAAUCUCGGGGCUCAACCCCGAGCGGUCGUGAGAAACUGGCAGGCUAGAGUGCGGGAGAGGAGAGUGGAAUUCCUGGUGUAGCGGUGAAAUGCGCAGAUAUCAGGAAGAACACCCCGUGGCGAAGGCGGCUCUC